CAGUCGCCGCGGUAAUACGUAGGUGGCAAGCGUUGUCCGGAAUUAUUGGGCGUAAAGGGCUCGCAGGCGGUUUCUUAAGUCUGAUGUGAAAGCCCCCGGCUCAACCGGGGAGGGUCAUUGGAAACUGGGAAACUUGAGUGCAGAAGAGGAGAGUGGAAUUCCACGUGUAGCGGUGAAAUGCGUAGAGAUGUGGAGGAACACCAGUGGCGAAGGCGACUCUCUGGUCUGUAACCGACGCUGAGGAGCGAAAGCGUGGGGAGCGAACAGGAUUAGAUACCCCCGUAGUCCCUGUCUCUUAUAA
RNAcentral lists this ribosomal RNA (301 nucleotides) under uncultured bacterium. Its description in RNAcentral is "partial 16S ribosomal RNA". It matches the Rfam family "Bacterial small subunit ribosomal RNA", at positions 509 to 809 of the family's 1533-position model. The record is from RNAcentral.